RNAcentral lists this ribosomal RNA (292 nucleotides) under uncultured bacterium. Its description in RNAcentral is "partial 16S ribosomal RNA". It matches the Rfam family "Bacterial small subunit ribosomal RNA", at positions 505 to 796 of the family's 1533-position model. The record is from RNAcentral.
GUGCCAGCCGCCGCGGUAAUACGUAGGUGGCAAGCGUUGUCCGGAUUUACUGGGCGUAAAGCGUGUGUAGGCGUACCUUUAAGUAGAAAGUGAAAGGUGGGAGCUCAACUCCUACAUUGCUCUCUAUACUGGAGGUCUUGAGUGUCGGAGAGGAAGAUGGAACUGCACGUGUAGCGGUGAAAUGCGUUGAGAUGUGCAGGAACACCAAUGGCGAAGGCAAUCUUCUGGACGAAAACUGACGCUGAGACACGAAAGCUAGGGGAGCAAACGGGAUUAGAUACCCUGGUAGUCC